Long non-coding RNA from Phyllostomus hastatus (greater spear-nosed bat), 1662 nucleotides. RefSeq lists it as uncharacterized. NCBI's taxonomy places the organism in Eukaryota, Metazoa, Chordata, Mammalia, Chiroptera, Phyllostomidae. The record is from RefSeq and is a predicted model, not a curated record. The transcript has 3 exons.
GUCCACCUCCUGGUCCCCUCCCUCCUCCCUGCCCGCCUAAGAUGAGGUGGGAGGGGGCUGCAAGUUCCACUCCAGUGUGUGCAAGUUUCAAGGACAGAAGUCAUCUGCUGACGGCUGAGAAGCCAGUGUUGGUCCGUCCGAAGAGCCCGACUCCGUUUCACCUCGUGGACAAUCUCUGCGGGUGGAAACCUGGCCCUAAACCGGGCUUGGAGGUCGGAGCUGACUGAGAAUGGAAGUCACGGAGGGCCGAAGAAGCUGGCCACGAAGGAAACACUUGCAAAGGAACACGCACCCCUCCUGCUGGACAAUCCGUGGGCAGCGAGGGCGGCGUGCCCCUGGGAGCUGCCCCCGCACGGAGGGUGCGCCCAUGGGCUCCUGACGCAGAGGGCGGCUGCCCGACCGUGAGCCAGUCGGGGGCCAGGACCUAGACACCCCACUGCUGAACGGCUGUUUGUGAAAAAGUGUACAUUAGUUUCCUGUCUUGUAACAAAUUACCACAAACUUGGGGUCUUAAAACAACAGAAAUUUAUUCUUUUUCAGGGGGCCAGAGGUUCAAACUCAAAGUUUUGGCAGGGUUGGUGAGUGCCCUCUGCAGGCUCGGAGGGAGAAUCCAUUCCCUGCCUUUCCCCUGGACUGUGCCUGCUACUGCCCGCAGCCCGGGCAUGCGUGGUGUGUAGAGGCUUCACUCGGCCUCUGCCCCUGUCUCCACCUGGCCGUCUUUCCUCUGUGUGUCCUUGGCUGCCUCCUCAAAUCCUCUUCUGCCUUUCUCUCACAAGGACAUCUGUCGGUGGACUUAGGGCCCACCUGAAACCCAGGAUGAUCUUAUCUUGAGGUCCUUCACUUAAUUAUACCUGCAAAGACUUUUUCCAAAUAAAGUCACAUUUGCAGAUUCUGGGGGUUAGGGCUUGAACAUAGUCUUCUGGGGCAUCCUUAUUCAACCCCCUGCUGAGAGGGACCAAGGGGACUGAGGACAGUUGCUGCUCUGAUCAGCUGGGGCAUGUUGCAGAGCUCCCUUUGCCUGAUAAUUUGCACAGCCCAUAUCUAUCACAGAGGUCCCAGCUGACUAAACUGCAUCCUGCCCUCGAGUUGCAACCUGGUGGAAGAUGCGUGUAAGGAAACCCACAUUUGCAGAAGAAAUCCUUCCGCCGCGGAAGGAGGAACAGAUGGCACUUUGGAGCAGGGCGUUGGCCCUCAGGACCAGGAGACCUCUCCUCUCUUGUUAGCUUGUUGUCACUCCCAGACCUUGAGUUGGUGGGGACCCCCAUUCAGAUGGGAAUGCUUGAUUGCAUUUGUUCUGUGUCCGGAGGGCUGGAGCCACUGCUUAGCAUUCCCUUUGGGAGGGAGGUUGUGACAGAGAAGGCCUGGCCUGCAGCUGGAGCUCCUCUGUGAAACCGAGAGACCCAGGGCAACAUGUCGGAGGCCCCAGGUAGACAGGAUGGAAGUUUUCCAGGGAGCACAGCAGCCACUGGGGGAGAUACUCCCAGAAUCCUCUUUUCAAACCCCCUUUGCCAAAAAGGGGAUAGCCAUUUCUAGAAUUCACCUGGUGGGGGACCAACCUGAGAAAUAAUGUUAACUAAUUUUAAAAAAUGGAAUAUAUAAAUAAUACAUAUUUACUAUAGAAAAUUUGAAACAUUUGGCAAAGAACAAAAUAAAUAAAUAGGG